This 66-nucleotide transfer RNA is filed under the name Sphaerodactylus townsendi. RNAcentral's name for it is "tRNA-Ile". The record is from RNAcentral. Lineage: Eukaryota; Metazoa; Chordata; Lepidosauria; Squamata; Sphaerodactylidae.
GGGCUGAAUGGUAAAACUUCUGCCUGAUAUGCAGAAGAUAUCCAGGUUUAAUCCCUGACAUCUCCA